CUGAAAACUUUAACAUGUGGCUAGGAUUGAUCCACGUUUAAAUUGAUAUUUGAAAGGAGCAAGGGCAUGAUAGUCAUUUUCUAUGUUACAUUUUUGACAUGUAGUGAUGGGUUGGUGAUGUCUGCACACGCAGACUUUCUCAUCCCUUUACAACCUUCCUUCUUGUCAUCUUUUAUUAAUGCUUGUAGUACUUGUUAGACUUUCUUCUUCUCUCACAUCUUACUCUCACAACCUUCCAAGUUCCAGAUCUCUACUCCAUGGAUAUAAUCUCAAGCCAUAAUCUCAACUCUCAUUUCCAAGUUCUAGAUCUCUACUCCAUCUCUCUACCAACAACAUCACCUCCUCCUUCCACCACCACCAUCACCGCCGUAACCUACUUCCACCACCACCACCACCGCCGUAAAUAAUAUGUUAUGCUGUUUGAGUAUAAACUCAAAUUCGUUACUGGGCCGGAAAACUCUUUUUUAGCCCAAAUCUCGCCGAGUUACAAGUACGAGUUACAAUCAGGAACAUAAACCCAUCAAACAAACACAAACUACAUACGACUCCUGUUGAGUUCGACUUGUUUCUACUUUGGUCUUCCUUCCCUUCAAUCCCACCUAAAUUCCAAACUCAAAUCACAGAUGAGGAAGUUGUCGGCGGCGGCGGUGGUGGCGGCCGUUCUGGUGGUUCUGACGGCGAACAUGGGUGUUGUGUUGGGGAUCAGGUUUGUUAUCGAUAGGGAAGAAUGUUUCUCGCAUAAAGCGGAGUAUGGGUCCACUGUCAGAUAUUCGUUUGUUGUUAUUAAGGUUGAAGGUGCCUGGCAUUAUAAUGAAGAUGGUGUUGAUCUUGU
Long non-coding RNA from Helianthus annuus (common sunflower), 832 nucleotides. RefSeq lists it as uncharacterized. The record is from RefSeq and is a predicted model, not a curated record. Lineage: Eukaryota; Viridiplantae; Streptophyta; Magnoliopsida; Asterales; Asteraceae. The transcript has 2 exons.